Molecule: ribosomal RNA, 253 nt
Filed under: uncultured bacterium
Lineage: Bacteria
Description: partial 16S ribosomal RNA
Rfam family: Bacterial small subunit ribosomal RNA
Source: RNAcentral
UACGGGGGGGGCAAGCGUUGUUCGGAAUUACUGGGCGUAAAGGGCUCGUAGGCGGCCAACUAAGUCAGACGUGAAAUCCCUCGGCUUAACCGGGGAACUGCGUCUGAUACUGGAUGGCUAGAGGUUGGGAGAGGGAUGCGGAAUUCCAGGUGUAGCGGUGAAAUGCGCAGAUAUCGGGAGGAACACCAGUAGCGAAGGCGGCUCGCUGGGCCAUUCCUGACGCUGAGACGCGAAAGCUAGGGGAGCGAACAGG